GUUAGAGGGGCCAGUUGUACUGUUAGAGGGGGCCAGUUGUACUGUUAGAGGGGCCAGUUGUUCUGUUAGAGGGGCCAGUUGUACUGUUAGAGGGGGCCAGUUGUACUGUUAGAGGGGCCAGUUGUACUGUUAGAGGGGCCAGUUGUUCUGUUAGAGGGGCCAGUUGUUCUGUUAGAGGGGCCAGUUGUUCUGUUAGAGGGGGCCAGUUGUACUGUUAGAGGGGCCAGUUGUACUGUUAGAGGGGCCAGUUGUUCUGUUAGAGGGGGCCAGUUGUACUGUUAGAGGGGCCAGUUAGGGGCCAGUUGUACUGUUAGAGGGGCCAGUUGUACUGUUAGAGGGGCCAGUUGUACUGUUAGAGGGGCCAGUUGUGCUGUUAGAGGGGCCAGUUGUACUGUUAGAGGGGCCA
RNAcentral lists this long non-coding RNA (406 nucleotides) under Salmo salar (Atlantic salmon). Its description in RNAcentral is "lncRNA (ENSSSAG00000103572.1)". The record is from RNAcentral. Lineage: Eukaryota; Metazoa; Chordata; Actinopteri; Salmoniformes; Salmonidae.